GAUGGCUCUACCAUUAAUACAGAGGUUGUUACAUUCUCUGUAGAAGUAAAAACAACAGACUUAAAUGCGAGAAAAUAAGCUAUCUACUAUUCUUUCUCCAGGCAGAUGGCAAUUUAUGAUGAUUGAGGCAGAAGCUACCACCUCUGAAAUGUCAGUAUACUUCUACCACACUACACAGCACUACAACCCAGGAAACGGUGAUCAUCAUACUUGCUGCUGUGAGAACCCAAAAUCUCACCGAGUUUUGUUAUAGCAACACAGUCAAGUCUUCAUUAUUUGGAGAUAAGCCAUUGAUCCAAAAUAGACAGAGCCCUCAGAGAACUUAGUUUAACACUUCAUAUGGCAAGAAGGAAGAAGAGUGAGAAUUACGACAUACACUCAUUGAAUACUGAAAGAAAUCCGUAUCCAGGAUGAACAGCUUGAGCACCUGUUUUUGUAACAGCUUCCAUGAUGUGAUCAAUAUUGAGAUACGACUCUCUAGUCACUGCAGGUCCUAUGCAGACGGCUUCGUCAGCCAAGUGAACAUGAC
Zootermopsis nevadensis is the source of this 529-nucleotide non-coding RNA. The record is from RefSeq and is a predicted model, not a curated record. NCBI's taxonomy places the organism in Eukaryota, Metazoa, Arthropoda, Insecta, Blattodea, Termopsidae.